Molecule: ribosomal RNA, 253 nt
Filed under: uncultured bacterium
Lineage: Bacteria
Description: partial 16S ribosomal RNA
Rfam family: Bacterial small subunit ribosomal RNA
Source: RNAcentral
UACGGGGGGGGCAAGCGUUGUUCGGAAUUACUGGGCGUAAAGGGCUCGUAGGCGGCCAACUAAGUCAGACGUGAAAUCCCUCAGCUUAACUGGGGAACUGCGUGUGAUACUGGAUGGCUUGGAUUUGGGAGAGGGAUGCGGAAUUCCAGGUGUAGCGGUUAAAUGCGUAGAUAUCUGGAGGAACACCGGUGGCGAAGGCGGCAUCCUGGACCAAUAUUGACGCUGAGGAGCGAAAGCCAGGGGAGCAAACGGG